CAACUUAAACCUUUCAGGGGAAAUACCAUAGUCAUGAAAGUGGUUUUUCCAAGGUAAGGCUUAUCCAUUAUACUUUGGGUGUACUGAUCCUUGUGAUUUCCUUAAAUGUGGGAACUUAGCUGCAUAAUUUGUGUUAACUGGGAAUUGCAUUUGUGAUUUUCCUGG
This 165-nucleotide small nuclear RNA is filed under the name Pogona vitticeps (central bearded dragon). RNAcentral's name for it is "U1 spliceosomal RNA (ENSPVIG00000015415.1)". It matches the Rfam family "U1 spliceosomal RNA". From Rfam's summary of the family: U1 is a small nuclear RNA (snRNA) component of the spliceosome (involved in pre-mRNA splicing). Its 5' end forms complementary base pairs with the 5' splice junction, thus defining the 5' donor site of an intron. There are significant differences in sequence and secondary structure between metazoan and yeast U1 snRNAs, the latter being much longer (568 nucleotides as compared to 164 nucleotides in human). The record is from Rfam by way of RNAcentral. Lineage: Eukaryota; Metazoa; Chordata; Lepidosauria; Squamata; Agamidae.